Molecule: long non-coding RNA, 235 nt
Organism: Falco peregrinus (peregrine falcon)
Lineage: Eukaryota; Metazoa; Chordata; Aves; Falconiformes; Falconidae
Exons: 3
Source: RefSeq, a predicted model, not a curated record
GUGUUAGUUGCAGGGCAGCCUCUGGACCUGUGGCCUGGGCUGGUGGUCAUUGUGGUGGUGGUGGUGGUGCUGGUCCUCCUGUCUGCAGGGAUCCUGUGGCUUGUGCUGUCCAGGAAAAGAAAAGCCUUGCCCAGCAAAGCUGAGGAUGACCAUUAUACAGAGCUUCAGCCCUAUGAGAAUCUGGAUACUUACUGCAUGAUAAGAGAGACUCUUCUGGCAGUGGAAGACGCGGGUA